This 192-nucleotide ribosomal RNA is filed under the name Triticum aestivum (bread wheat). RNAcentral's name for it is "partial small subunit ribosomal RNA". Lineage: Eukaryota; Viridiplantae; Streptophyta; Magnoliopsida; Poales; Poaceae. The record is from RNAcentral.
AUGCCAUGUCAGUCUUUAACAUCCCGAAGAAUAUUUGUAAGGCUAUCUGUGAUGCUAUUGCUAGAUAUUGGUGGGGUGACACGCAAGAAAAAAAGAAGAUCCACUGGAAGGCGUGGUGGAAGAUGUGCAUUCCUAAGAAAGAGGGAGGUAUGGGCUUUCGUGAUUUACAUUGUUUUAACAAAGCUAUGCUAG